UAGUGGCACGGUGGCACAGUAUUCUAGUCAGGUACAAAACAGUCAGGACGGGGAUAAAAUACCGUUAAAGGGCACAUCGUUGAAGUUUCUUGUGCUGGCCUUGGUUGCCCAAACCGGGGCUGGUGCUGGGAGUUAAGAUUUUUGGGCAUACCGUAAUGGCAUGCGGUCUAUGACCCAGCUAUCGUGGAGACCCGACUCGGCAGAAGUAUUCAGUCUUUUGCUGACCGGGAUUAAACCUGCAAUGCGGUAAACAAUAGCUGUGUGCAGUGUAGCCUGCCUUGAGUGGAAAAUGCGAAUAAAACGUUCGACCGAUCGAAUUGAAGGCCAAUAAUUCGACAGGUUUUGGUUUUUGAAACUUUUUUCUGCAAAAGAGGAUAAACUGUUCAAGGCCUGUUAAGGAAAUCUUCUAGACUGAUUAGACUAAGGAUUAUAGUGUGUUCUCAGUGGCGAUUCGGUGCAAUUCCGGCACAAAAGGCCGAUUUUGACGAUCUCUUAAAAGGAAACUGCUUUAUUCGGCGACGAAAAGUGAGAUCGUGGGAAAGCCUACCGAACCUAUGACGCAAGGUUUACUUAGCCUAAGCCACCCAAACA
This 591-nucleotide small RNA is filed under the name pig gut metagenome. The record is from RNAcentral.